GAUGAACGCUGGCGGCGUGCCUAAUACAUGCAAGUCGAGCGAACGGACGAGAAGCUUGCUUCUCUGAUGUUAGCGGCGGACGGGUGAGUAACACGUGGAUAACCUACCUAUAAGACUGGGAUAACUUCGGGAAACCGGAGCUAAUACCGGAUAAUAUUUUGAACCGCAUGGUUCAAAAGUGAAAGACGGUCUUGCUGUCACUUAUAGAUGGAUCCGCGCUGCAUUAGCUAGUUGGUAAGGUAACGGCUUACCAAGGCAACGAUGCAUAGCCGACCUGAGAGGGUGAUCGGCCACACUGGAGCUGAGACACGGUCCAGACUCCUGCGGGAGGCAGCAGUAGGGAAUCUUCCGCAAUGGGCGAAAGCCUGACGGAGCAACGCCGCGUGAGUGAUGAAGGUCUUCGGAUCGUAAAACUCUGUUAUUAGGGAAGAACAUAUGUGUAAGUAACUGUGCACAUCUUGACGGUACCUAAUCAGAAAGCCACGGCUAACUACGUG
RNAcentral lists this ribosomal RNA (497 nucleotides) under uncultured bacterium. RNAcentral's name for it is "partial 16S ribosomal RNA". It matches the Rfam family "Bacterial small subunit ribosomal RNA", at positions 28 to 507 of the family's 1533-position model. The record is from RNAcentral.